RNAcentral lists this unclassified non-coding RNA (329 nucleotides) under soil metagenome. RNAcentral's name for it is "partial contains 5.8S ribosomal RNA, internal transcribed spacer 2, and large subunit ribosomal RNA". The stretch from base 1 to 120 matches the Rfam family "5.8S ribosomal RNA", at positions 35 to 154 of the family's 154-position model. The record is from RNAcentral.
GAUGAAGAACGCAGCGAAAUGCGAUAAGUAAUGUGAAUUGCAGAAUUCAGUGAAUCAUCGAAUCUUUGAACGCACAUUGCGCCCCCUGGUAUUCCGGGGGGCAUGCCUGUCCGAGCGUCAUUACAACCCUCAAGCUCAGCUUGGUGUUGGGCCCCGCCGCCCCGGCGGGCCCUAAAGUCAGUGGCGGUGCCGUCCGGCUCCGAGCGUAGUAAUUCUUCUCGCUCUGGAGGCCCGGUCGUGUGCUCGCCAGCAACCCCCAAUGUUUUUCAGGUUGACCUCGGAUCAGGUAGGGAUACCCGCUGAACUUAAGCAUAUCAAUAAGCGGAGGA